RNAcentral lists this transfer RNA (73 nucleotides) under Trichonephila inaurata madagascariensis. It matches the Rfam family "tRNA". Rfam says of the family: Transfer RNA (tRNA) molecules are approximately 80 nucleotides in length. The record is from Rfam by way of RNAcentral. Lineage: Eukaryota; Metazoa; Arthropoda; Arachnida; Araneae; Nephilidae.
GUCCCUGUAGCGCAAUGGAUAACGUGUUGGACUUCUAUUCCAAAGGUUGUGGGUUCAAAUCCCACCUAGGAUG